CCCAUGCCAUUUCCAUACUUUCACCUUAUUUUCACUUGACUCUCAUGCAAUUGAAGAGAAAAAUAGAGAGAAUCAGCUAAGGAAAGAAAGGAGAGAAAUGUGAAAGGCUUGGGUAGUAAGUGAUUCAAGAGUAAUUAAAGAAAUAUCAAGUGGGUCUUAAGAUUCAAGAAACAUAAGCUAUGGUGACAAUGGGUGUGAGGAAAUUAUGAAUUUUGUUGGGGCAAAUCCAAGCUAAAACCAAGUAGGUUUCUGAGUUAAAGGUGACUGGUCCUAGGAUGAGGUGCUCCUUUUUAUCCAUUGCUCGGUAGGUUUACCAUGACACUAAAUGUUAACAACUGUGUCCAGAGUUACUCCGCUGACGGGUAAGGUCUAAUUAUGUGUAUAUGAAUGCUUGAUGUGAAAUGCUAAGACUUAUUUGUCAAGCUAUAUAUGUAUAUUAUAGUUGAUGAUGCUAUUAUGGAUACAUAAUUGGGUCUUAUGAAUUUUUUUC
Molecule: non-coding RNA, 490 nt
Organism: Theobroma cacao (cacao)
Lineage: Eukaryota; Viridiplantae; Streptophyta; Magnoliopsida; Malvales; Malvaceae
Source: RefSeq, a predicted model, not a curated record